GGGGAGAGGAACUUGUUCCUCGAGUCGUUGAUUUCACACUGCCGAGAAAAGCCUCUAGCUAGAAUAACGGUGCCCGUACCGCAAACCGACACAGGUAGUCAAGAUGAGAAUUCUAAGGUGAGCGAGCGAACUCUCGUUAAGGAACUCGGCAAAAUGACCCCGUAACUUCGGGAGAAGGGGUGCUCUUUGAGGUUCACGCUUCGAAGAGCCGCAGUGAAUAGGCCCAAGCGACUGUUUAUCAAAAACACAGGUCUCUGCUAAACCGUAAGGUGACGUAUAGGGGCUGACGCCUGCCCGGUGCUGGAAGGUUAAGAGGAGUGGUUAGCGCAAGCGAAGCUACGAAUCGAAGCCCCAGUAAACGGCGGCCGUAACUAUAACGGUCCUAAGGUAGCGAAAUUCCUUGUCGGGUAAGUUCCGACCCGCACGAAAGGCGUAACGAUUUGGGCACUGUCUCAACGAGAGACUCGGUGAAAUCAUAGUACCGGUGAAGAUGCCGGUUACCCGCGACAGGACGGAAAGACCCCGUGGAGCUUUACUGUAGCCUGAUAUUGAAAUUCGGUACAGUUUGUACAGGAUAGGUAGGAGCCUUAGAAGCGUGAGCGCUAGCUUACGUGGAGGCAUUGGUGGGAUACUACCCUAAUUGUAUUGGAUUUCUAACCCGCAGCACUUAUCGUGCUGGGAGACAGUGUCAGGCGGGCAGUUUGACUGGGGCGGUCGCCUCCUAAAGAGUAACGGAGGCGCUCAAAGGUUCCCUCAGAAUGGUUGGAAAUCAUUCAUAGAGUGUAAAGGCAUAAGGGAGCUUGACUGCGAGACCUACAAGUCGAGCAGGGUCGAAAGACGGACUUAGUGAUCCGGUGGUUCCGCAUGGAAGGGCCAUCGCUCAACGGAUAAAAGCUACCCCGGGGAUAACAGGCUUAUCUCCCCCAAGAGUUCACAUCGACGGGGAGGUUUGGCACCUCGAUGUCGGCUCAUCGCAUCCUGGGGCUGUAGUCGGUCCCAAGGGUUGGGCUGUUCGCCCAUUAAAGCGGUACGCGAGCUGGGUUCAGAACGUCGUGAGACAGUUCGGUCCCUAUCCGUCGUGGGCGUAGGAAAUUUGAGAGGAGCUGUCCUUAGUACGA
RNAcentral lists this ribosomal RNA (1118 nucleotides) under Staphylococcus pseudintermedius. Its description in RNAcentral is "partial 23S ribosomal RNA". It matches the Rfam family "Bacterial large subunit ribosomal RNA", at positions 1567 to 2686 of the family's 2925-position model. Lineage: Bacteria; Bacillati; Bacillota; Bacilli; Caryophanales; Staphylococcaceae. The record is from RNAcentral.